Alexandromys fortis (reed vole) is the source of this 5834-nucleotide long non-coding RNA. RefSeq lists it as uncharacterized. NCBI's taxonomy places the organism in Eukaryota, Metazoa, Chordata, Mammalia, Rodentia, Cricetidae. The record is from RefSeq and is a predicted model, not a curated record. The transcript has 2 exons.
UGGGUGUUACUGCCAUGCCUGGAACAGAAAACACUCAGAGGGAACCCUCUGUGUUGUGGACAAAAAGCAGGCAUACUCUCCAAUAAAAAUGUAUUCUCUGUCCUCCAAAAACUAGAAAAAGAAGGGAUUGUUUUUAAGGAAAACUUUAUGUGCCAGCUACCAAGGAUGCAGUCAUAAUUAAACAGGUCAUUUGGGGCACCUAUCAGUGCUUACACAGGCAGGUUCUUUAGAGUUUGGGACUUCCAGCCUUAGUGCUCACGGCAAAGCUUGAGGAAUUCAGGGUCUUAGUUUUCUUAUCUCUGUGGCCCCUGGCAAACAGUCACAUUGGCAGAGCAACUGCUAUACAAUGUCAUAGGACAAAGCUCCAUCCAUAGUUAAUGUUGGCAAGUUAUAAUUGAAUCCUAGGACUCAAAGAACUAGGGCUCCCUCUUACACACACACACACAGACACAGACACAGACACACACACACACACCUAAGACUACACGUGUGACAUUUAAACUUGCCACUUGGGGCAGACUGAAAGAAAAAUUAUGUGCUGUCAAAUAAAAUUUCCUCCCACCUGAAAGAACCCAUAGCAUUUAAAAUGCCUAAUAAAGGGAGUUUGAGAAUAACGGCGAUACAUAUAGCCAGCUAAAUCAUAAUCCAGGAGGCAUGACCAUGAGUCCUGUUUGUAUACCAUAGUCCAUAGUAACCAUGGGAUGGGCCAUGGGAUGGGCCAGACUUUUGGUGUAAUCACCCUGAAGCCCUAUGUAGUCUAGUCAUGACUCAGCAAACAGAAAGAAUUCUGACAGAAAACUUGAAGAGAAGUCAUGUUCCAUAGCUGUAGCGCGCAGAGAUAUAGCACGCGGAGAUGUAGCGUGCGCCAUGGCGCUGUCAUGUCGUGGGCACGGAGCCUGGGCACCUUUUGCUGUUCCACGUCAAACUUGACAGACAACUUGUGCGCAUGCGCGUGAGCUCCCCCCAGCGCGGGGGAGUCUUUCGAUCUGGCCAUCCAAUCUGGCCAAUCAUAAUCUGGCACGAUCACUCCAUUCUGGCCUGAGCCAUUGGGUUGAUGACACGUCAGGGCUUUGUCUGGCACCGUAUAUAUUCUUCUGCUUCACGGGGACGGGGUCUUUUGCCUCUCUACAACCUCAAGUGUAAGUGCUCCAAUAAAGUGUGUUCUGAGAAGAAUCCUGUUGCGGUCGUCUCUUCUGCUGGCGGGAGCGGAGUGCUGCACAUAGCCACUUCCUCUGAGGCAAACUUCCACUGUGGAGGCAGGCAGACAUAGGGUGUUCUGAAGCGAUGUGAAGUAUCUAUCAGAAUAAUGAUUUCCUGCCUAGAAAAGGAAGAGGCCAGCUGAGCUUCCUGGAAGAGUGGAGCCACCUGGAAAGGACCGUUUCCAGUCUGACCAGCUGCCUUCAGGUUGGGUAGGGAGCUCCAGGUCUCGAGCUUUGGUGAGCUGUCACCUGUUCUGGAGUGGACUUUGGUAACGAGGCUUUUCUGCUCCUGGAAGUAAUUUCUCACAUAUAUGCUCAUAAAUAAGACCAAGGAGACCCAUGACUCACCACAUUGGGCUUUGAUAGUAUCCUUACUUUGGACUUUCCGAGGUCCUCUAUCUGGGGUGAGCAGACAUUAGCUCAUAUCUCCCCAGGAAAAUGCCAUAUGAGGAGGCAGAGGGAAUGAAAACAGGAUUUGAGAAAUCCAGAGGUUUCAGAAGAGGCUCAAAUGUGAAAAUAUGAGAGUCAAGGCAAAAGACUAACCCAUCAGCAACACAGUGUAAGUACACUCUAUACUGAAUAUUCUUGGCAGCUUUUAUUUGCUGGUUUAAAUCUAGUCAGCAUCUGGGAAAAGCAGGUGCCCACCAUCUGGGUCCUGAUGGAGCUAUUUAUUUAUUUAUUAGAAACAGGCAAGAUUAUCAGGGAUAGCAAAACAGUAAAUUUAAAAGUAAACAUGAACAUUCUAAGAAAACCACAAUUGGCUGUAACCGGCAGUCGGGGGUGAAGGAAAUGGCUGUGACCCGUGGUGAGUACGCACUUAGCAAGGCUGCGCUGAAGAAGGGACUAAGCAGACCUACCAGAAGGGUCGGGACAGAAGAGAUAUUUGGUGAAGGUUUGAAGGUAACUUCUGCAUCAGGAAGGCUUCCCACAUAAAAUAAUUGCAUGCUCCUAUGGUUUGGAUUUAUAAUGUGCUCAAAAGUUCUGCCUGGUGAACAUUGGUCCAUCAUCAUUCCAAGGCUACUGGGAGGAGGCCAAGGGGGGAUUUUCAAGUUAUUGAAACUGCACUCUUAAGGAGGUCUGUGGGACCUAGACUUUCAUCUACUUUUCAUUUUGGGGCCACAAGGUGACCAGUUUUGCACCACCGUGUUGUACUGUUACAUAACCGAGACCCAAAGGCACCGUGUCUGCACCGUCACAGAAUGGAUGGACUCUUGACAAUUACUAGCCACGGAAACAGAGUGACUGCACCAUUUCUUGUCAAGUAGAACGUAGAAACAACUUCCGAAUUUCUAACAAGAGCCCAGGACAGCCUUCCUUGGGAGCACCUUGCUGAAACAAAUGAGCAAGUGGACACGAUCUGAUCUAUCUACCUUACCAUCUGACGGAGCAGGGAACUGGUCUGUUGAGUCAUGGAGCACACUGAGAGAAACUGUUAAGCUGAGCACAUAUUACUGAUACCAGCAUGAGGGCAUGCAGUGAUGAGCCUAACUGCUUCAUUCACAAAGAUGGACACAAGACCCCACUCUCGCUGAAUACCGGGCACGCUCUUCCAUCUGAGCUUAGCUCCUCCAUCUUCUACACUUCAAGCUUUCCCAUAAUGCCACCACCAUCAUACUGUUCUCAGUGCUUAGGUCUCCUGCAGGCAUGCAGGCUUCCCCACCAGCAUGGCAGGGGUGAUGGUGCUCACCUGCUCGGUGAGGUUUCACAGGUUUCCCAAAUAACUAAGAGAAGAAACUUUCACCACAGAGUUAAAAUAUUUAAUGACAAACUUUGAGUAGCUGUAAUUGCGAGCCAACAGAACAGCUGUUACUUGUCUCCGAAUGAAACGCAAAGGGGGCUCAAUGUCAGAGAGAAUUUCUGAGGAACCAAGAACACACGUUAACAGCAUCACAAUUCUGAAAGUUAGGGGUGAAACCUAUCUCAACUAGUUUCUUUUAUUUAGGGAACUCUGUAAAUGUUUCUACAGAAAUGCAUAACCUUUUUCUACUCACAAUAGGAUAAGACAGAUUUCACUAUAAUUUUAAGUCUAACAUGUAAGCUUACUUUUAUCGGACCUUAAAAAAGGUGAACUACUGAUCUUGUUACAUUUUACAAAUACAUUCUUUAAGAUGAAACAUCAACCUGAAUAACUGCAUAGCUCCUGUACAUAGAAAUCUGACCACUCCAGUGAAGAACUCGACGGCUGCACUCCAGGAGGAAGGGGAAACACUGGCCAGCUCCUUUUCUCUAUGCCUCGUCAGUGUGAUGUGCAAAGUCCUUCAGAGAAAGACUGCAUUUCUGAAAUUCACAGUGAAAUGCAGAAAUCUAAUAAGCACUGUGAAUCUUCCAGCAAGCUCAACCAAAUGGGUUGGGCCCAGAUGACAGGAGUCCCUUGAACAAAUUUCAGUGGGUUAGACUGCAUUAGUAUUUGCUAUUGCAGCACCUUCUACGAAAGGGUAGCGAGAAUUUCACAUGUGCUGUCGGGGGCUUCUCUGCGUGAGGCUGGAUGGCUGACAGUUAAAGAGGGGCAGCAACAGCUGUUACAGACCCGACUCUGGUGGAGGACAAGCAGGUGAAGACCAUGAUGAAGGCCUGGAUGCUGACUGAUCAGUAGAGGCAGCUAACGUAACUCCCGGUGAGCUUCUCUUCUAGUUCAGGCUGUUUCUAACAAGACUUGGGCCUAGUGUGAUCCACAGGAAGAACGGAAGGAGGGCAGGGAAGGGCACUUACACGUAGAAAAAGGAACUCUGAGAAUUAGGCUGAGGAGGAAGAUUCAGCUUUCACAGUAUGCAUAUGGCCCACCCUCUGCCCCUUCUGAAUCAGCUGCCCCAAAGCAGACAACGAAUUUUGUUCUUGAGUGGUGUGGGGAAAGUAAGACCACCUCUCUCAACUAUGUACGCUAACUCUCUGAAACGAGAAUCCAGUUGGGGAAGAUGAGUAUGUGUGUUUUCUGAGCUAAAGUCUGCAGAUGAAACCUAUCUGAGGUGAUAAGUUGGGCCUUUGUAUUUUUAUCGUUUUAGAAAUCAGACAGUUCCAGUAGUCAGUGGAUUGCAUGUUCCCGGCUUCUUUAGAAUGUUAAGACACCUAAAGAAAAGUAUAAGGUAUAGUAAACAUUCCUAGACCACAGUAGACAUUUUUCCAGUAUGUUCUUCAACUGGACUAUCUGCCCGCCCGAGAGGAUUAUUUGCCGCAAAUUGCAUCCUCCUGACCUCAUGCCUGUGACAUUCCAUGAACCAUGUGCUCUUUCCCUGGGAUGUAUUAGUAGGAGAACUUACACUAUUUAAAUCACAUUAGUAACCUAAAGUCAUCUUAUGCUGCUGCCUCAGAGGCUACAUCACACACAAACAGGUGGAUACAAAAGAACGAAUGGGUCCUAAGACCCAGGCAGCUGAAAACUCCAUGCAUUGCAGUGAGUGUCUGACAUGUUUUGCUUGCCUCGUUGCUUUACGAGGAACAAGCACAGAUUGUUUUGCUUUUUUUAUAUUUAGUUUUUAAUCCUCCAGAAAACAGAACGUCCACAGUCUAAGUGCAGUAAAUCCUGAGCAACAUCAAAUUCAAAGGUACGGAAGAGAUUCUGUUCAUUCUGACAGCAACACAGAGGCUUGUAGCCAUGCUGUCUGGACCAGAACAGGCAGGUUCUAAUGGACACAUAUGCAAUCUGUCACGAAGCACAUGUUAAACAACACAAAAUAAACCAAAAACAAAACCAAUAUCCAAACCUCCAAAACCCAGAUACCAAGAAAUUUGGGGUCCUUUCCGAAGGCUAAUGUGAGAGUACCUCUAACAUUGGGCAUAACUUUGCAAAAGGAGAAAAAAAAAGUAGCAUCUUUUCACAUUAUGAUUUACACAGACUUUUAUCUAGACAAGUUAUUUAUUAUUAUUGUUUUUGUGUAUGUGUUUUAUAAGGUGUGUCAUGACACAUGUAUGUAUGGAUGUCAGAGGUCAACUCUGUGGCAUCCAGUCACCAGGUUUAUGGUAUAAAUACCUCAUCUACUGUGCUACCUCACUGAGCCUAGAUACAUUGGUUUUUGUUAGAAGUAUAUCCACCCCCCAAGUCAGCUACUAUAAUUUGAGAGAAUGACAAAAGAGAGAAACAUCCGUAAGACAUGGAGCUUUUAAAGGAGGGUUUUCCGUAAAGGUCUGUACACCCAAAUUUUUACCCUUCGUGUGAAAAUUCCUGCUAAUCAGACUGGAAAAGAAGGAGCGGAAAUGUUUAUGCUUCAGCCCAGAAAGUAGAUUUCUAUUUGUGGUUCCGACUUGUUUCGUGAAUGCUAGUGAUGGCUCAUGCAAAAAGAUGAAGAUGCAGUGAAGAGCAAACCCAAUGCCGCUCCUCUUCCUGACAAGCGUGUUUUCUGCAGCACAGACUUAAAUCCCAGGAUACUGAAUUUUAAUUUUGCUCUUCAGAUGAAGAGAGCCAGGAAUGUAAGUGAAUCCACGGCUUGACUUUUAAUUUUACCCAGGACCAUCAUCUGAUGCCAGCAUAUUCAACUGUUUUCUUGCUUAGUUUCCAAGGGUGAAAAGAAAAAAAAAAUUUUUUUUUUGCUAGUUUAGACCUGGUUUAUCAUUUAGUCUGAAUUUUAUAUUCAAACUACAAAAAAAUUUCCUUCAAAAGGAAAAUAUACACACACACACACACGCACGCACACACACACACAA